RNAcentral lists this ribosomal RNA (468 nucleotides) under uncultured bacterium. RNAcentral's name for it is "partial 16S ribosomal RNA". It matches the Rfam family "Bacterial small subunit ribosomal RNA", at positions 28 to 507 of the family's 1533-position model. The record is from RNAcentral.
GACGAACGCUGGCGGCGUGCUUAACACAUGCAAGUCGAACGGAAAGGCCCUGCUUUUGUGGGGUGCUCGAGUGGCGAACGGGUGAGUAACACGUGAGUAACCUGCCCUUGACUUUGGGAUAACUUCAGGAAACUGGGGCUAAUACCGGAUAGGAGCUCCUGCUGCAUGGUGGGGGUUGGAAAGUUUCGGCGGUUGGGGAUGGACUCGCGGCUUAUCAGCUUGUUGGUGGGGUAGUGGCUUACCAAGGCUUUGACGGGUAGCCGGCCUGAGAGGGUGACCGGCCACAUUGGGACUGAGAUACGGCCCAGACUCCUACGGGAGGCAGCAGUGGGGAAUAGUGCACAAUGGGCGGAAGCCUGAUGCGGCAACGCCGCGUGCGGGAUGACGGCCUUCGGGUUGUAAACCGCUUUCGCCUGUGACGAAGCGUGAGUGACGGUAAUGGGUAAAGAGGCACCGGCUAACUACGUG